GUUUCUGGGAUAGAAUUCCAUAUGCUCGGAAAAUUUGUCCGUCGGUAAUAAAAGGCACCUUAUAUGGUUUGGGCAAUUAGGUUCCAAUUAAACAUUAGAUAGCCCGCAUGUUUCCGUGGAGAUCCAACAAGGAAAAAUUUGAUGAAAGAAAUCCGAGUAACUAGUUGUCUUGCAUAUUUACAAAGUUCAAAUCCUUUGGUUGUUGUGCUUUGACUCGAUUGUCUAUUAUGCUGUUUCAUUUACUUGCACAUUGCCCACUUGUUCAUUUAACACACAUCACCCACUUGGUGAUUUGGCAGUUGUGGGCAGACAGUCAUAUAGAUUUAUUUUUUUUGAGAUCUCGUCAUAUAGAAUUGUAAUAGCACUGACAUGGAAAAAGUUAAAAACUGAAAAAAGUAAAUCAAACAAACAAAUGGUGCGCAAACUAAAUCAAACGGCACAAGACAAGUGAGAUUUAGUCAGGACUCUUUCAGAUGAAGAUAAGUAAAUUGCAAGAAAACAACAUGCAGAAACAUUUUUAUAUCGUAGCAUAACAUGCAAAAAAGCACAUAUAUAGUACAACGACAACCCACGUGUCUAUAUGCUAUCUAUAUGUAUAUCUAUCUAUCUAUAUCUAUCUAUCUAUCUAUCUAUAUAUCUAUCUAUUUAUACCUACUAAUAAAAGACGGAGCAUUUAUGCCCAUCCGUCUCAUAUUUUGCAACAAAAUACCCUACAUUUUUCUUUAAUUAACCCGCGGUCAAGGUUUAGGUGAGGUUCGUCCGUUGUGCUUUUGCAAAGAACGAGGAAACGGUUGCGUUUUGUAAGAUUCAAACUCAUGAUGUCGCCUCCAUGCCCAAAAGCCACAGCCAACUGAGUUAGCAUGCACUUGUGCUACUAAAUAGGUCCAUUAUUUCAUUAAAUUGUCCAACUUUGAUACUUUGCAUGAGAAUACGCAAAUUUAUAUGUGAUUGCAAAUUGCCUAGAAAUCAACAAGCCAACUCGAUAACCAAGAAAUAGAGGGAGAGGAGGAAUUCACUCAAUAAAUAGUGUUAACUAGCAGGGUUUCCCGCGCAUUUGUGCGGCUAUAUUGACCCUUUCCGAUGCCAACUAUAUGGCCUUUCACUAAACUAUAUUUCGAUUAAAUUUACACCCUGUAUAUGUCAUCAUAGAAAAAAUGAAAAUCGUAAUGAAACAUGCAAGUGCAUUAGGUUGUUCAUUUUAAUAUAGAAGUGCAUUAGGUUUUUAAAUAAAUUCCUUGGCAUGUCAGGUUGCAACACCGAUAAAAAACCAUGUAUGGGAUUUCAUGCCAAUCUUGGUGUUUUUCCUCUUUGAUCACUCCUCCUUUGUAUCAUUUAAUAGGUUUUCGAGAAAUUCCCUACCAAGACAUAAAUCUAAACAUGAAAUUCCGGUAUGUAAAGGUCCCUUUUUCUAGUCAUAUCAAUCAACGGACGCAUUCUUAACUACCUUUUCUUGAUUAUUGCUGCCUACCCACUUAUGUAUCAAGAGAUUCACAUCUUCUAUCGUGCUUAUUUUUUCUAUUGAUAAUAUUUUACAAAAUAUUAUCUUUGACUCCCUCCCUUUUAAUUUCUGAAGACUUUGAAAGUGAAGAAAUUGGUGUGACCUUGAAGACUUGGUAUUCAUUCGAGGAACAUGAAGCGUGAAGACUUUUGUUUUUGUAGUUUCAUUUUCUCUUUCUUGAGUCAUAGGAAACAUCGUACUGUUAAGGGGGUCGAGGAAAUACUAAGGAAAAAUUUCCAAGUGAUGCUCAACUCAAAAUCCUACACCUACCAAUCCCUUCGAGUGAAGCCAUUGGAAAUCUCAUGCAGUUCAAUCAAUUUCUUCAGUGACAGAGACGAAGUACUUCUGGUCUCUGAGAAAUUUGUUCUGACUGAGAAGUUAGGAAUUCGCCAGUGCGGAUUACCUACAAGUGAGGAACAUGAUAGCCCUGAGGAAUUAGACACUCAAAAUUCCGACCGUUGCUGUGCUAUGCGCCAGCUGUCCCAAAAUAUCUUACCCACCUAACGGUCAUAUCAUUGAAGGGCAUUUAUGUCUUAUCAUGUAGGGCUGCUCCCUAGGCUAUAAAUAGCCGCCCCCUACAACCACUAGCUGGUUGGCUGCUCCGAGAGAAACUGACACUUGUCAUUUGAGAGCAUCCCAUCCUCCGAGGACUUUGAGCGAAAAUCAUCAAGUGAGGAAAACCCAAACCCAAACACCUAAAAACCCAAAGUGAUUGAGCAUCACCGAAGAGAUUGAUCCUGCGUGGAUCCGACGCUUGUUACCUUUAAAGACUGUGCAUCUUCCAGACGGUUAGGCGUCAUGGUCUAGAGCAUCCAAGAGGAAAUUGUGGAUCGCCGAGUGACAGAGUUUGUGAAGGUUUGGAAGUCACCUGAAGACUUACCACGAGUGAUUGGGCGAGGUCUGUGUGACCUUAGCUCAAGGAGAAUACGGUGAGGACUGUGUGUCCUCAGGUUUAAAUACCUAGCUGCUCCAACCAGACGUACAACCACUACAAGAAAUAUGUCAACUUGCGACCACCACUAUUGGUCACUGAAAGGUCAUUGUUUUUUAUUUGCGGCCUUUUUUUGACCAAAAACAGAAGGUCAAAAGCUGGCGGUCGUAAACUAAAAUUAACGACAUAUGUAAAAGGUCGUUGGUUCUUCGACCGAAAUUUUGGUCACUAGCAGCCUUCCCAAGCCACGUAAGAUCCAGCGUGGCAAGCUGACAUGGAUAAGAUUCAACCCAGUCCGAUUAGGUGUCUAUAUGGGCCAAGCCCAUUAAUUCAGCCCAUUUAUAUUUUUUUUCUGCUAAUUUUUGGUCGACUUCAUAGGCCAAGCCCAACAAUUCAGCCUUCUAAUUUUCUGGGCCAUGGCCCUUUUGCAGACCAUUUCUUUAAGCAUUUUUGUUCAAGUUUUCCAGAAAUAAAUAAUGUGUCAGUCCACUAUUAUUUGGGCCAUAGCCUUUUUAGAGCCCAUAUAUUAUUUGGUCCAAUAGAACAUUUGGUCUUUUUAUCCACUGAUUUCCAGUUUACACAUUUGGAUAGCAAACACUCAAUAAUUCUCUUGAUUAAAUGAUUAAAUUCAGAAAUCAUUCAGCCAAAUACGCACAACAGCACAUACAAGUCCGCACGUCCAACAUCAACUAAAACAAGCAAAAAUAGAUACACAUGCACGAUACACAAGCGCAUACAAGUGUGCUUACAAGCAAAAACAGAUACACAAGCACCAAAACAUGGUGCAACAUCAACUAAAACUGUGGUGCGCAUCUCCAUGCCUCUUGAUCUUCCGUCACAGCAGCAGCAGCAGCCUAAACAACAUUAGAUCCUGAUCCAGAUCACCAAAAAGAAACAUUAUUAAAUGUUUAGAGACAAUGCCAUCAACAUGAGGCGGUAAUCCAACUUAACACUUUGUCAACAUAUUUUACAUAUGCAAAUAACUAAGAUUAUACUGUAUAAGUUUAAGAUCCAAAUGCAAUAUGAAACUGAAUUGCCAAAUAGUAGCAUGUUUAGACAACUUAACAACAUUAUUAAUACUACUUCAGAUUUGGGCUAGUAGAAGGCCAGGCAGAAUUCAUGAGAACUUUAUUGAAUUCAUUCAAUAGAGGAUAGCACAAACAAAAAACACACUGUCAAAAUGAAUCAUGACUGGAAUUGUAGAUGUUCUGUCGGUUAUACUAUAUUAAACUGAGCCAAUUAUUGUAGGUGAAAGUAAUGCUCCUAGUAUAUCAUCAUCAUUAACAUCAAACAAUUCUGAAUGUAAUCAGAGGAAGCACAGCCCGAUCAUGUGCAAUCAACUCAUAAUAAAAGGGUACAGAUGAUUAUUAGUGUUACUAUUAACUUGAUGGUGGCAUCUUAUAUACAAAAACAUGUAUUCCAAAAAAACAAUCAAUAGGGCCGCUGGAAGGGGAGCCCCGGCUCUAGCAAAAGGUCUUAAUGCUUUAGAGAAAAACAGAUUUAGACAAAUAGGAUUUAGUCAAUAGAACCCCAGAAACCCAUAAAAUCACUUCACAUCCUGAUUCAGCGUUUUGUGUUGAAAUAUUGGCCAUCACAAGUAAUUUUGUGCAAGUCUCAAAACAAGGCAAUAAUGAUAUAAUUACUGAAGCCGCUGAUAUGGUUAGAUUAUUUGCAAGUGACUUCAAACAGAACAUAUGGCAUGCCUUAGUCAUGCCCUAAGGCUAAACAGAACAUAUUUAAGCACCUCCAUGAAUACAGCCAAGUCUCUUAACAUGCUUCUACUACAGAAAUCAUAACAACAGCAGGGUCAAGUUGAGUUAGCUGCAGACCUAGUUGAGUUGUCCCCUUCGCUUGGAGAGGACGACGAUCUCGUCGUUGCCCACGUCCCCCGCCAGCGGCCGACUGCUUCUCCACGGUCUGGAGGGUCAGGCAGAAAUCAUACUGCCAUAGUGUGCCCCUGGUUAACCCGAAUCAGCAGCUCUCCAUCCUACUCCAACAGACUGAACCUCUGCUUGCUAUCUCACCUGACUGCCUACACGCAAGAAGGCAAAAAAAAAACAUUCACUCAAAGCAUCUUACAAUUCACAACAAAUUCGAGAUUGACCCAAUUAAUAAUACAGCAUAUAGAGAUUUCAUAAUCAAAGUUCAUGCUGCUAGGCUGCUAGCUAUCAAGAUGAAAACAACAUGUAGCAGAUACAAGCAUACCAGGAAAGGUGGGCUAGGUGUUUAGUAAGAUCGUCUACUGUUCAGCAGGAAGAUGGGUCAUGACCAAAUAUUACCUCCCUGAUUUCAUCCACCGUGUGGGACUUGAGGGGAACCUUGGCAAAGGUCUGCAGGCUGAGGCCGAGCAGGUCGAGGACCCGCACGUAGUCGUCGCUCUUCAUGCCCAGGCUCAGCUCCGACGCCAUGUGCCGCAAGACCAUCGCCCUGAGAAGAGAAGCACAGACAGAAGGCAGCCGUGAGUGGGUGCCAAGGGAAAAAACAUAAGCCACAACCGAGAAUUGCAAGAUUUAGUAUAAAGGAAAUAGGAUUUCAUAGAUCACCUAACAUGGGUUGCAUUGAAAUCCAAAUGAGUCAACAAAAAUUGACUCCCAUCAACGGCGGGUAUGCGGUAGCAGCUGUUGUCAUGGCAACCAGAAACUCAGAAAUGAUAUUGGCGGCAAACCCAUUACAUGUACCAGACGCCACCCACCUAUCAAAAUUGAUAAACACUUCAGUUGUGUCCGAUCCUAUUGCAGGGCUCGGAAAUGACAAUGCCACAACCCUUUGCAUGUACCAGACCCCAUAAACCUGUCCAAAUUGCUAUAUGCACGACCCGUUACAGUCCACAGUUACAGGAUAUGAUAUGCUCAGAAAUGAACAAAUGCCAAAACCCUUUUACUUGUACCAGACCCCAACCACAUGUAGCUAGCAAAUUAAUCACUUCACGCGUCUGAUCCUCUCAAAUGCUAGACUUGAAGAACAUCAACAAGGCCAACUAAAAUCGGACCCUCCCAAUCAUGGAUUUGGCUCCCAGGUAAGUAAUAAAUCACGCAUCUGAUCAGGUAAAGAGGAAUCAAGAAUAGGAGAAGGUUACCAAUCCCAGCUCUCGGAGGUGUUCUCCACCAGGUUGGGUUGGGUUGUGCGCAGACGUCGUAGAUGAUCGGCUUCUCGAACCACCAGAUGACGAUUUGGGUCCCCUCGGUGUACACCUGCAUGGAGCAAACGCCCAAGGGCGACCAGAAAUCAACCGCAGACCAAACGCGCAGAGAACAACAGGGAGCAAGGGACCAACCGCGGACCAAGCCGCCGUGGCCGCAGAUCCUGGGUGGUCGCUCGCGGAUCCGUCGGCGUCGAAGAUGGAAGGCUGGUCUUGGUGUUUGUCGUGGAAUUGUCACGGCAGAUGUCCUUAGCGUGAGGACUUAGUCGUGAGGCCAGCGCAUCUAUGUAGUAGGUUGAGAGGGGUUGAUUGGGAUGAGAGACGCAGGGCGGAUCAACGCACAAGACAAGGGUUUAGACAGCUUCGGGCCCCGGGAAAUAUCAUCCGGUAAUAGCCCUACAUGCUGUUUGUGGCUAGGUCUCAUUAUACUCAUAAGAGAAUCGCCGGUAAGCCGGCUCUUUGUGUCUAACCCUAGAUAUUGUUUCUUGUUGCUUGUCCCUCUUUGGGGUGCCCUGCCCCUCCUUAUAUAAGUUAGAGGGGCGGGUUACAUGUGGAGUCCUAGUAGGACUAGGACUAGUCUAUCUUCUCUUACAAGUUAAUUACAAGUCCGGGUCUUGCUUCCUCGUAAAGGAAGUAUUCGUCAUCCCUUUCUUCUUAAGCCGGCCCAUCAUAUACGUGAGCCGGCCUUCUGGGCCUUGGGCCUUGUUGUCCAUCUGACCCGCCCGCCGGGUUACUAAUGAGUCGCCAAGAUCGGGCAGGUUAUCUGUGAAUCGCCAAGCUCCGGGCGGGUCACCAGUGAGUCGCCAAUUCCGGCCGGGUCAUACCGCGGGGUAUAUCCCCGACAGUGUUGGCUGAUGAAGACGUCGGGGUCCUUCUUCUCCUCCAACUCCGUCCGUCAGGUACCCAUCCCAUCAGCGCCGCUCCGCUCCGACCGCGAACCCUAACCCUAACAGAGAAGGAUGAGGGAGCUUGUGUGCGGCCAGACACGGAGAUGGAGGCGGACGACGUAGGUAGGGAAGGAAGGAAGGGGAGGGGAGGUUGGCGCACGGCGGCGACAGGCGAGGUCGGUGGUGGCGGCGGGGAGGGGAUGGGGAGGGAGGUAGCGGCGGGGAGGGGAUGGGAAGGGGAGGAAGCGACGAGUGGUUGGGCAGGGUUCGCGAGGACGAGGAGUGGGUGCAGUGGGUUUUUUUCUCCUUUCUUCAGAUGGAUGGAUGGAUGGACGUGGGAUUGCUAGCAAUGGAUGGUAGGAUGUCUGCCAUGUCAUCGAUCCGUGUCAUACAUGGUUCCACCAAUCAAAAUCCAGCUUAUGUAAUUGUGUUUCUUUCUUUUGUCUCCUUUAUAUUUUUUAACCUCUUAUUUGGGGUAAACACUCAACAUAUUAGCCUCAUGUUGUAUGUUUAAAUGACCCAAUAUUGUGCACAUAUGUGUAUCUUAGGAUUUCAAACAAUGAUGAUUUUGUGGUCUUCAUUUGCAUUGCACACAAAAAGAAUUCAUUUUUCGAGUGCCCCAAAUGACUUUUUUUGUGAAGAACCUACCAAAUAAUUGUUGCACAAUUGGACCAACUCAUUUUUCUAAAAUACUAGGACAUAUUUAAUUCACAAUUGACCAAAUGGUUGGGUAUAAAAAGUUUUGAUCCACCUCUGGUGAAAAAGACAAAUUUCCGCUGAUUCAGUUGGAAGCGGGUCAAAUUUGAACUGCGGCUGCCUCAUAGUUUGCUAUUUAUUUUUCUCAAAAAUCAUUUCUAGGUACAAAAGUAUCUAUUUAAUCAGAGAAACACCAAAAAAAUUCCAAGAUUCAACCACUAGCUAGGAACGGUCAUUCCCGCCGUUUUGACCGCAUUUUGAAACAGGCAUAAAAAUUUCAAAACAAAUCAAAAAAAUUGUAAAACCUUCGCAUUGUGCCAUUAUAUGUGACCAAGUUACCAGGAAAAAUAAUAAACUUGUAAUACGGCAAUUCUUUUAAAAAAGUGUUCUCAGAAAUGAGCUAUCAUGUGUGAAGAUUCAUGGCUUUCAAGUCAAAUGAUCAAUCUUAUGGCCAAAUUCAUGGCCUAGUUUGUUCAGAUGGUCUCAUAUUGUGCACAAGGGUGCAUCUUGGAAUUCCAAACAAUGUUGCCUAAGUGAGUUUUCAUUUUCUUUGCACGGAAAAUUCAUUUUCCAUUUUUCGAGUGCCCCAAAUGAGGUUUUUUUUAAGGAACUACCAAAUAAAUGUUGUAAAAUUGGACCAAAUCAAUUUUAUAAAAUACUAGGACAUGUUUAAUGCACAAUUGACAAAAUGGUUGGGUGUAAAAGGUUUUUAUCCACCUUUGGUGAAAAAGACAAAUUUCCGCGAUUCAGUAGGAAGCGUGUCAAACUUGAACUGCAACUGCCUUAUAGUUUGCUCUUUAUUUUUUCCAAAAAUCAUUUCUAGGUACAUAAGUAUCUAUUUAAGCAUAAAUACAUGGUUUGGUGGUGAUACGUUGAGGUUUGGACGGUGGCCCACGGCCCCAACUCCAAAGCGCGUAGACUCACAUGCCCGCCGCGUGGUCAUCGCGUGACCGUGGCGUUGCCAUGCGUUCUGGGAAGCCUAGGCAUGCCUAGUAGGUUUGGCAAUCCCAAGGUAGAUGCUUGGAAGAAAAUAACAACAGAAGAAUCUCACGAGGAGACCGAACAAUGCUCAAACAUGAAUUAGCACCCAAGUGUUUGAUUAGUGGUACGGGAAAUUCACAUGGCCAAUGGGCCUGAGUUUUGGCCGAGGAUGAUCAUCUACUAAGGACACUAUCUUGGAAAAUUUGCAGCUCAAAUGGAGGAGCCUAGGUGUCACUCGCUUUGCAACGUACCACACUGAACAGAAAUAUGAAUGUUGAAGCCACACUCACAUGUAUUGUUAGAUGGGGCUCAAAUUUUGUGGAGAGCUAUGAUUUGGGAAUAUAGAAGAUGUGGCAAAAAUUCAGCUCAUUAGGAUAUGCCUAGCUAGUACUUCCUUCACAACAGUUCGAGUUGAACAAAAACUUUGGAAAUUUGCCGAGGAAGAUUUACCAGGCAAAUGGAGUUGAAUAUUGUCAUGAGGCAAUGAUUUGGAUAGUAAAGAAUGCCCAAUUUUUUUUGGGAAUUUUGGGAAUGACAGAAAUAUAGGUUGCUUCACAACCUAGGGCAAAAAUUGACACAUGGACAUGACACAUAAGCAAAACUGAUGAGGUAGCGCCUAGUCAUAGCAAUAAGUACCAAUGCAUCCACGUUCACAACCUCAUGACCAUUUAUAUUGGUCGUAAUAAGGUAGAAAUAAGGUCAUUGGCCACUCUUGUCUGCUUUGUGACCAUUUGGUGUAAGCAAUUUCAGGGUUUGAGCCCUUCCAAGUGAAAUGGCCGUGGAUUUAUGACCAAUUCAGCUGGGGUCACUAAGAGAAGGUCACAAGUUGACAUAUUUCUUAUAGUGAACUGUCACAGCAGUUGGAACUGGUCUACCAAAUCAUUGUCUUCACCAAGCCUACUGGUUCUAUUUCCUCGACUCUUUCAUUUCCUCAUUACUGUGGUGUGUGCUUGUUCAUAUAUGUUUGAAGACUUUGACUCAAGACUUUCUCAAUUUCCUCAGUUCAAUUUCUUCAGUCUAUUUUGUCUUCAUCCUAUUUUAUCCUGUGCUUACGCUUCCUGUACUCCGUGUCUGUUUUCAUUUCAGCAUGAUGACCAUGUUUAUGUUAUGUCAUGUAUGCAUCUGAGUACUUAUUCCGCUGCAAGUAGUUCUUCGCUAAGGAAUUUCCUCACCCUGAAAUUCAUCAGUGAAGAAUUCAUAAAAAUCGCCUAUUCACCCCCCUCUAGUCGAUUUAACGCACUUUCAUCGUCACAUUAGCAACGCCAGACGCUGAGACGAGCACGUGACACCAAGCCCACCUUGUCUAUCUUACGGUAACGCGAGUCGAGGCGGACGUCGACGCGGUAGCGACGACGGACGCCGAGAUGAGUACGUGACACCACUGCCACCCUGUCUAUCUUAGGGCAACGCGAUUCGACGCGGACGUUGUCGCGGUAGCGAUGAAGGAUGCCGAGACGAGCACGUGACACCACUGCCCCUGUCUAUCUUAGGGUAACGCGAGUCGAGGCGGACGUCAUCGCGGUAGCGGCGACGGACGCCGAGACGAGCAUGUGACACCACUGCCACCCUGUCUAUCUUAGGGUAAUCCGACUCGAGGGGGAUGUCAUUGUGGUAGCGACGACGGACGCCGAGAUGAGCAUGUGACACCACUGUCACCCUGUGUAUCUUAAGGUAACGCGGGUCGAGGCGGACAUCGUCGCGCUAGCGACAACGCACGCCGAGACGAGCACGUGACACCACUGCCACCCUGUCUUAUGGUAACGCAAGAGUCGAGGUGGACGUCGUCGCGGUAGCGACGACGGAUGCUGAGACGAGGACGUGACGCUAGGGCCCCCCUGUCCCCGUCGCGGUAGCGACGAUGGACGAUGAGACGAGUACGUGACACCACUGCCACCCUAUCUAUCUUAGGGCAACGUGAGUCGACUGCCAUUUGAUAUAGGUCAGAACUUUUCUGAAUACUUAGUGUCACCAUGUGAUCCAGACGAAUAAUUAAGAAAGUGUAUAAUUUUACAACCAUGGAUACGUGAGUCGAGGCGGACGUCAUCGCGAUAGUGACGGCGGACACCGAGAUGAGCACGUGACACCACUGCCACCCAUUCUUAGGGUAACGCGAGUCGAGGCGCACAUCGGCGCAUUAGCGACGACGGGCGCCGACACGAGCACGUGACACCAGGGCCACCCUGUCUAUCUUACGGUAACGCGAGUCAAGGCAGAUGUCGUUGUGGUAGCGACGAUGGACGCCGAGACGAGCACGUGACACCACUGUCACCCUGUCUAUCUUAGGGCAACACGAAUCGACACGGACGUCGUCGCGGUAGCGACGACGGACAUCGAGACGAGCAUGUGACACCCUGGCCACCCUGUCUAUUCAAAGUGCGUUAUAUCGACUAGAGGGGGGUGAAUAGGCGAUUUUUAUGAAUUCUUCACUGAGGAAUUUGCGGGUGAGGAAAUUCCUUAGCGAAGAACUACUUGCAGUGGAAUAAGUACUCAAGAGUAAGCAUAGCAGAGCAUAGGCAUGGUCAUCAUGAUGAAAUGAAGACAAACACAGAGUACAGAAAGCGUAAACACAGGAUAGCACAGGAUGAAGACAAAAGGACUGAAGAAAUUGAACUGAGGAAAUUGAGAAUGUCUUCUGUCAAAGUCUUCAAACAUAGAUAUGACAAGCACACAACACAGUAAUGAGGAAAUGAAAGAGUUGAGGAAAUAAAACCAGUAAGCUUGGUGAAGACAAUGAUUUGGUAGACCAGUUCCAACUGCUGUCUCAGUUGUACAUCUGGUUGGAGCGGCUAGGUAUUUAAACCUGAGGACACACAGUCCCGGACACACAGUCAUCACCGUAUUCUCCUUGAACUAAGGUCACACAUACCUCGUUCAAUCACUCGUGGUAAUUCUUCAGGUGACUUCCGAACCUUCACAAACUCGGUCACACGGCGAUCCACAAUUCCUCUUGGAUGCUCUAGACCAUGACGCCUAACCGUCUGGAAGAAGCACAGUCUUCAAAGGUAACAAGCGUCGGAUCCACUCAGGAUCAAUCUCUUCAGUGAUGCUCAAUCACUUUGGGUUUGUAGGUGUUUGGGUUUGGGUUUUCCUCACUUGAUGAUUUUCGCUCAAAGUCCUCGGAGGAUGGGAUGCUCUCAAAUGACAAAUGUCAGUUUCUCUCGGAGCAGCCAACCAGCUAGUGGUUGUACGGGGCGACUAUUUAUAGCCUAGGGAGCAGCCCGACAUGAUAAGACAUAAAUGCCCUUCAAUGAUAUGACCGUUAGGUGGGUAGAUAUUUUGGGACAGCUGGUGCAUAGCACAACAACGGUCGGAAAUUUGAGUAUCAAAUUCCUCAGGGCUGUCAUGUUCCUCACUGUGUAGGCAAUCCGCACUGGCGAAUUCCUAACUCCCCAGUCAGAACAAAUUCCUCAGAGACCAGAAGAACUUCGUCUCUGUCACUGAAGAAUAUGACUGAACUGUAUGAGAUUUCCAAUGGCUUCACUCGAAGGGAUUGGUAGGUGUAGGAUUUUGAGUUGAGCAUCACAUGGAAAUUUUUCCUUAGUAUUUCCUCGACCCCCUUUAACAGUACGGUGUUUCCUAUGACUCAAGAAAGAGAAAAUGAAACUACGAAUACAAAAGUCUUCACGCUUCAUAUUCCUCAAAUGAAUACCAAGUCUUCAAGGUCACACCAAUUUCUUCACUUUCAAAGUCUUCAGAAAGUCUUCAGAAAUUCAAAGUCUUCAGUCGAAGAACUUCAUUUUUAGGGGUUGACUUUCUCUGUAAAUAUCAAACUCCUCAUAGACUUAACCUGUGUACACUCAUAAACACAUUAGUCCCUUAACCUAUAAGUCUUCAAUACAUUAAAAUCACUAAGGGGCACUAGAUGCACUUACAAUCUCCCCCUUUUUGGUGAUUGAUGACAAUAUAGGUUAAAUUUUCAACGGGGAUAAACAUAUGAAGUGUAAAUACUGAUAUUUAGGAAUUUGAUUGCAAGAUAUAGAAGAACUCCCCCUGAAGAUGUGCAUAGUGAGGAAUUUGUUUUUGAAGCAAUGCACACUUGAAGAGUUGAAUCAUGGAGAUCUCCCCCUAUAUCUUGUAAUUCAUACACGCAUUUGACAUAAUAUAUGAAGAAUUUGAAAUGCAUGAUGAAAUAUGGUGACUGAUGUAAUUCAGCAUGCGUGCAAUAACAUUAACGAGGAAUAAGCAUGCAAAAGAAACAACAAAAGUAUCAGGCCACCAUAGAGUUUUAAGUUUACAACUCGAUAUAACAAAGUCAUCAGAAGAACGAGAGUUGUAACUUAGAAAAAAACGCCCAUAAAAGAUAGACCCGCUUGAAGACUAACUCAAAUUUCUCCCCCUUUGUCAUCGAAUGACCAAAAGGUUCGAAAAUGAGGACUAACGCCCCAGAAGAAUAUCAAGUUGAUGAAGGAGCGCCAGCGUUGUUGGGGUCAUUUGUUGAUGUAGGGCCUGCCGCAGUGUCGUCCAAGUCUUCAUGCUUAUCAGUUUCACGCGAUGAAGAAUAGGAGCUGGCCACCAAGGAAGGAACCUUGACCUUCUUGUAUUUCUUCGGUGGAGGUGCAGACCAGUCAAAGUCCUCCUUGAGACCCAUGUUCUUCAUAUCUUCUUCGCUGUAAAUGUGAGACAGAACAGCCCAGGUGCGACCGAAGACUUCAUGGAGGUAGUAAUGGUUUUUCUUCACUGCAUUAUGUGUAGCAGUCAUGUUGUGAAGAAUUGAACCAAACUGACGCUUAACCCAUUUAUGGUUUCGAUCCACCUUCUGGUGAAGACUUAGCAUAAGUUCACGGUCAGUCAUCACACGAGGAGCAGUAGCUUGAGGAUUUGGCUUGGAGGCAUGGGCAGCAGAAUCAUGAGUGGCAGAGUCAUCAUUGGUGGAAUAAGAUGCAGCCUUGGGAAAUUGACCAUCCAAUGGACGAAUGCCUUCAUCUAUAACAGCUGGUGCCUUGCCCUUUUCGUCAGCUGAGGAAUAGGUCCACUUGAGGACUUCAAUCGGGGGCAAGUAGCUGAGGUGAUUCUGAAAAUCAGCUUUGUAGUUGAGUGAAGACCUUGUUCUGAUGAAUCUCAUAAUCCACGGUGCAUAAGGCUUCAACUCAAACGGUGAAAGUGCAACAUUUGCCAGAGUCCUCAUGAAGAAAUCAUGAUAAUUGACAGGAAUGCCAUGAAUGAUGUUGAAAACCAGAUUCUUCAUGAUGCCAACAAUUUCCUCAUCAGAUGAGUCGUGGCCUUUGAUUGGACUCAUAGUCUUCGUCAGAAUGCGAUAGACUGUCCUUGGUACAUACUGCAAUUCCUUCACGAGGAAUUUUGUCCUUGAGGCUUGACCUGGUUUCCAUGGCUUCAUCAGCACUUGCAUAUAGUGAUCAGUAAGCUCAGGUUCUUGGUACAUGCAACAAGCUCCUUCAGGUGGAGAACUGAUGGGCAGGGCGUGAAGUAAUUCAGUGGCCGGUUCCUUAUAGUGAGUAUUUUCAGCCAUCCAGUCCAAAACCUAGGAGUUCACAUCGUCAGGAUCUCCCGUGAUGUGUAAAGUUGCGUAGAAUUGAAGAAUGAGUUCUUCAUUCCAAUCAACUAUGUCUGUGCAAAAGUUGAGGAGGCAUGUGUCAUGAAGCACACUGAGGACAGGAGUGAAGCAUGGCAGUGAUUCCAUGUCCACAUGAGGAAUAUGCUCGUGGUCGAAGACUUUUUCCUUGUUGAAGAGCAGUGAAGAAUAGAAGUUGGCCUAGCUGGCGGUCCAGAAGCGCUUCCUUCUAAGACGAGCAGAAUCAUAGGGAUUGUAGUCAGUGAAGAACACGUGCUCGCCAAAGAAAUCAUCAGCCUUGAAUUUCUGUGUCACAUCCCUAGUUCUGGUAUGACCUAGGCUAGCUAGUCAUGUGUGCAUCAUGUUUAAAUUCCAUUUAAAUUUGAAGUGGGGAUCUGUGAAACCCUCAGAAUCAUUUCUGGAAAUGACCCAGAUAAAAAUUGCUCCAAAAGGGUCCAAGAAAAUGUUCAUGUUGCUCUCUGAAAAUAUUGGACAGAGAUAAAAAUCAAACCAAUAUUUUUAGGAGAUCAUAAAUAUUUAUUUUGGGCAUUUGGAAUUAAUGCAGUAAUUAUUUGCUUUGGAUAUAUAUUGUUAUAUAUAUAUAUAAUAUUGUCCAAAAAUUAUGCCAUUUGUUGAGGAGUUAUGGAAUAAUACCACUAGCCCCUACAAAAAUUGGCAUAAGAAAAUAAAAUGAUUUAGUAUUCUACUAAAUCAGAACAAAUGUCAGAAAAAUAGAAAAGAAAACAAAAAGGGAAAAGCUUACCUGUGCUCACCCAAGGCCUGGCCUGGCCCAGCAGCCCAGCAGGCCGGCCCAGCCGACUGGCCAGUGCCAGUCAUCGUCCUCCUGGCGCCAGGAGGACGAUGGGCACGCGCUCGCUGCCCGCGCGCAUGCGCGCCACCUCCUGCUUCUCCCCCCUCAUCGCCCUGGACGCCUCCCGCAAUGCCACGCACACCCCUGACCCCUCUCACUCUCCCUGGACCCCUUUCCCCUCCUCUGCUCUCUGUUCCGCGCCGCCCGAGCGGAGCUCGUCGCCGCCGACGUCGUUCACCGUAGCCUCCACCUCCUCCUCAACCUCUCUCCACGCCCAGAAGCUCCGCCAUCGUCCCCCUCAUCUUCACGACCGAGCCACGCAAGCCCGGAGGCCCUGCAUCGCCGGCAACAUCACCAUCUUCCUCCUCCGCCGCCCUGGAUCGCCGACGUUGAUUAGUCGCCGUCCGGCCUCCCCCGAGCUCGCUGACGUCUCCAAACUACGUGGGGUGAGCCCCUCUUCGUUUCGCCCCUAUCCCCGUCGCCCCGCACGUCCUCUAGCACUAGCGCCGCCGUGCCCGAAGCUCGCCGCCGCCCUGCCAUGUCAUUGUCGUGGGCACAGCCGCCUCCGCCCGCUUUUGAGCUUACAGCCGUGCUAGUUGAGCUCGCAGGAGUCCGUAGCACUGCCCAGUGGUGGAAAUGGUGCACCGUAGAAUCGACCCGCACAACGCCGUGGCUCUGUCGCCGUUGAACCUCGCCGCCGGCGAGAUUCCGGCCUCCCGUGACCUCCCGUCUGGUCCAUCAUAUGCACGAGAGCAAGAGCUCAUGCCCGGUGCCUCCCGAGCGACAAACCGCAGCCCCUAGCAUGUUUCCGGCAAUCUUCCGCCGCGGUUUGAGGUCGCCGCCAGCCAAACUCCGGCGUGCCGACGUGGCACGGCCAUUAGUGGUUAAACCCCACUAAUUAGCCGCCCUACAGCCGCUGACAGCGGGCCCCACAGCAGGUCAAAGGUGAGUCAACGCGGGGUUAACCCCUGUCUCACUGACCAGUGGGCUCCGCCAGUCAGAUUUGACCCUGGCCAGCCCGUUGACCUGCUGACGCAGCGAUGACGUCAUGCUGAUGCAGUAAAGGAUUUUCUGGAUUUAAAUUAAAUCAGGAAAUUCCAGAAACUAGUAAAACUUCUAAAAUUCAUAGAAAUUCAACCGUAGCUCAGAUUGAAAUAAUUUAUAUAUGAAAAAUUAUCAGAAAAAUGCAAUCUAUCCAUCUGUACUAGUUUCAUGCAUGACAAACCAACUUAUACCUACUGUAUAAGUGAAAACAUAUAAAUGGAUUAUAUAAGGACUUAAAUUAGAGUCGCAUUUGAACCUUUGGUUCAAAUGGAUCUCUUCCAAGUUGAAUGCUAAAUGCAUUGGCUCAAAAUACAUCACAUAUACAUGCCAUAUUCAUGCAUCAUAUUGCUGCAUAUGAUUGUGUUUUUGACUGUCGACACCGUUCCCUCUCGAUAGGUCCUGCUCCGGAGAGUGUUCCAGAGUACCUGUCUGAGGAGCAGUGCCACCCUGUUGAUCUACUAGGCAAGCAAACCCCCUUUGUUCAUUCCGAUACAAUCCUACUCUCUCGCUCCUGCUCUCUUUUACUGCAUUAGGACAACAACGAUUCAACUGCUACUUUAUGCUGCGGUAGUUGAACCCAUUCCUCUGCAUGACCUGUCAUUGCCACAGUAAAUAGUUGAAACCCACUAGCAUGUGUAGGAGUUGAUUGAGCCAUGUUGUGUUCCUACCAUGCCAUGCCUACUAUUGCUUAGAGUUGUGUCAGGUCUGAUUCAUUGGGAAUGAAUUGGAGUGUUACGAUAUGUUCUGGUGCCGAGAGUUAAGCGUGUGAACACGAUUUGGUAAAGGUAGCGGUGAGAGGCCAUGUAGGAGUACAUGGUGGGUUGUCUCAUUGGAACCGUCCUUAAGCACUGAGUUCUGUGUAUGUUGUCCAAUGACUAGCUACUACCACACAUUGGGUUCCGGUAACUCGACCCCUCUCGACUUAUUAACCAACUUGAUCUCUGUCCAGGAGUUGCAACUAGUUUCUGGUGUUUGUAGGUAGUGCUAUUUUUCUACCGAGUGGCACCCGGCAGGGUGGGCUUGGGACAGACUAGGCACACGUGGCCCGGUGUACCCAGUGGCACCCGGAUGGUGGGCUCGGGAACCCUGUACACAUCGUUUGGGGCCGUGAGCGACACCCCGGCCGGAUCUCCUUGCGGAUGGAACCCGAAUAGGUGAUAAACCUGGACUAGAGUCUUGUGUGGUUAGUCAGGUCGUGGCCGACACCCUCGCCAGGCUUCCGCUUGAAGGUUGCCGAGGUACAUGACGUGUACAUGGCGGUAAGUGGCGAGAGCGUGUGUGACGCAGUACACCCCUGCAGGGUUAUCAUGAUCUAUUCGAAUAGCCGUGUCCUCGGUUAUGGACUUCUUGGAUGCUUACGUGGUACAUAGACAACCUGAAGUGGAUACUCUAAAAUGCUCAAGAUAAGUGUGAGUGCUAUGGAUGGCUUCUUGUAGUGAGACGGGAAUGAAUCCAUAGUGGUGUAUUGAGGUGGUGAUUAGUGGACUCGUGUGCGCCUUCUUACCUCAAAGAAGUCUCUCGUAGUCGUAGAACAGGAUAGCCACUGAGUCAAAGCUGGCUUGCUGCAACUAAACCCCACACUACCUUCUUGAUACAAAUGCAUGUAAGAUAGGAUCUGAAGUAAGUCUUGCUGAGUACCUUUGUACUCAUGUUGCUUUGUUAAUGUUUUUGCAGCGGAGACUUCAGUCUUACUAGUUGCUCCGCUUGGACUUCGACGAGUAGCUUGUACCUCAACUACGAUCUUGUACCCUUGGGAGGGUCUUGUAGAUAGUCAGGCUUCUCAGCCUUUUUCUUUUGUAGUUGUCUGUACUCACAAAUGUAAUGCUUCCGUUGCUUGUAUGCUCUGAAUGAUGGGUCAUGUGACCCCUGUUGUACUUAAUGCUAUGUGGCUCUUCUGGGCCUUUUAUCUAUAUGAGUUUGCGUUAUGUUGUGAUGCCAUGUUGUACAGCACAUACUUGCAUGUUAUGCGUACGUGUAACGUGUAUUGCUAUGUGUGGGAUCCGACAAUCUAGUUGUUUAUCCUUGGCAGCCUCUCUUAUGGGGAAAUGUAGUCUAGUGCCUCCUUGAGCCAUAGUAGUCCGCUACAGCCCGGUUCACCGGAGUCCUGCUAGCCCAGCACUACUGCUCUGGACACUUGACUGGCCGGCAUGUGUUUCAUUUCAUUCCUGUGUCUGUCCCUUCGGGGAAAUGUCACGCGGUGACAUCCGGAGUCCUGCCUAGCCUGCUACAGCCCGGGUUCCCGGAGUCCUGUUAGCCCAGUGCUACAGCCCGGAUUCACACGCUGCUGACCGACACGCUCGAUGUUGAUUCAUGUAUGCAUGUACCCAUACGUUAGUGCCGCUUUGGGUUCACGACUAGCCAUGUCGGCCCGGGUUCUCUGUCAUAUGGAUGCUAGCGACAUUGUCAUAUACGUGGGCCAAAAGGCGCAAACGGUCCCGGGCCAUGGUAAGGCGACACCCGUGGGAAUACCGUGCGUGAGUGUCGGGACCCCGAUUCCAAGUCACACCGAUCUAGCCUGUAACACCUCAUAUCACUUNNNNNNNNNNNNNNNNNNNNNNNNNNNNNNNNNNNNNNNNNNNNNNNNNNNNNNNNNNNNNNNNNNNNNNNNNNNNNNNNNNNNNNNNNNNNNNNNNNNNNNNNNNNNNNNNNNNNNNNNNNNNNNNNNNNNNNNNNNNNNNNNNNNNNNNNNNNNNNNNNNNNNNNNNNNNNNNNNNNNNNNNNNNNNNNNNNNNNNNNNNNNNNNNNNNNNNNNNNNNNNNNNNNNNNNNNNNNNNNNNNNNNNNNNNNNNNNNNNNNNNNNNNNNNNNNNNNNNNNNNNNNNNNNNNNNNNNNNNNNNNNNNNNNNNNNNNNNNNNNNNNNNNNNNNNNNNNNNNNNNNNNNNNNNNNNNNNNNNNNNNNNNNNNNNNNNNNNNNNNNNNNNNNNNNNNNNNNNNNNNNNNNNNNNNNNNNNNNNNNNNNNNNNNNNNNNNNNNNNNNNNNNNNNNNNNNNNNNNNNNNNNNNGCCUUACCAUGGCCCGGGACCGUUUGCGCCUUUUGGCUCACGUAUAUGACAGUGUCGCUAGCAUCCAUAUGACAGAGAACCCGGGCCGACAUGGCUAGUCGUGAACCCAAAGCGGCACUAACGUAUGGGGACAGGCAUACAUGAAUCAACAUCGAACGUGUCGGUCAGCAGCGUGCGAAUCCGGGCUGUAGCACUGGGCUAACAGGACUCCGGGAACCCGGGCUGUAGCAGGCUAGGCAGGACUCCGGAUGUCACCGCGUGACAUUUCCCUGAAGGGACAGACACAGGAACGAAGUGAAUCACAUGCCGGCCAGUCAAGUGUUCCGGAGCAGUAGUGCUGGGCUAGCAGGACUCCGGUGAACCGGGCUGUAGCGGACUAGUAUGGCUCAUGGAAGCACAAGACUACAUUUCCCCAUAAGAGAGGCUACCAAGGAUAAACAAGUAGGUUGUCGGAUCCCACACAUACCAAGCAUUUCAAUCAUACACACAAUAUGCUCGAUAUGUGCAAAUACAACAUGGCAUCACAACAUAACUCUACGACUCAAGUAUUUAUUCAUUAGGCUCCGAGGAGCGAGAUAUUACAAACAUGGGUCUCAUGACCCAACAUUCAGAGCAUAAAAGGCAAACACAUGCGGAAGCUUAACAUGUCUGAGUACAGACAUUUACAAAUGGAAAAGGCUGAGAAGCUUGACUAUUUACUAGAUCCUGCCGAGGGCACAAGAUCGUAGCUGAGGUAUCAAGCUAAACGUCGAAGUCCACAUGAGACUAAUAGCGAGACUGACGUCUCUCUGCAAAACAUAAAAUAAGCAAACGUGAGUACAAAUGUACCCAGCAAGACUUACAUCAGAACUAUCUACAUAUGCAUCGGUAUCAACAAAAGGGGUGGUGGAGUUUAACUGCAGCAAGCCAGCUUUGACUCGGUGGCUAUCCUAAACUACGACUGCAAGUAACUCUUUUGAGGUGGCGCACACGAGUCCACAUAUUCACCAUAUCAAUACACCACUAUGGAUCCGCUCCCGUCUCCCUACGAGAACGCCAUCCAUAGCACUCACGCUUAUCUUGCGCAUUUUAGAGUAUCCACUUUCACUUGUCUAUGAACUGUACAGGCAACCCAGAAGUCCAUUUCCGCGGACAGGGCUAUUCGAAUAGAUGAUGUUAACCCUGCAGGGGUGUACUUCGACACACACACUCUCACCACUUACCGCCGUUUACACGACAUGUACUCGGCAACCUUCAAGCGGAGGCCCAGCGAGGGUGUCGGCCAUAGCCUACCUAAACACUCAAGUCUCUAGUCCAGGUUUAUCGCCUAUUCAGGUUCCAUCCGCAGGGAGUCCGGCCGAGGUUUCCACAUACGGCCCCGAACGAUGUGUGCGGGGUUCCGAGACACCAAACGGGCGCCCGGCAUACCCGGCCACGUGCCUACCGCAUCACAGCCCACCCCUCCGGUCAGCGCUGCCCACGGCCUCCAGCAUACUACAAACACCAGAAACUACUUGCAACUCCUGGACAGAGGACAAGGGUGAUUAAGAAGCCGAGAGGGUCCAUUGGUAGUAACUGUAUCAUGGAUCACAAACACAGAACUCAGUUCCUGAGGACGGCUGCAAUGAGACAACCCACCAUGUACUCCUACAUGGCCUCUCACCGCUACCUUUACCAAAUCGUGUUCACACUCUUAGCUUACACACAGUAGGACAUGUUCAUCACCAUUCCAAUUCAUCCCCGACGAAUCAGACCUGACACAACUCUAAGCAAUAGCAGGCAUGACAAACAAGCAUGAAUGAGUAGGCACACCAGGGCUCAAACAACUCCUACUCAUGCUAGUGGGUUUCAUCUAUUUACUGUGGCAAUGACAGGUCAUGCAGAGGAUAAGGGGUUCAACUACCGCAACAAGUAACGGUUGAAUCGUUGUUGUCCUAAUGUAGUAAAAGAGAGCAGGAGCGAGAGAGUGGGAUUGUAUCGGAAUGAACAAGGGGGUUAUGCUUGCCUGACACUUCCGAAGAUAGUAUAGCUCUUCAUCGGUGUCAUCGAUCUCAUCGUCGGAAUCACGGCUAUUGAGAGGGGACAAUCACCGGCAAACAAGGAAGAACACAAUCAAUGCAAUGCACAAUAUGAUGCAUGAUCAUGACAUGGCAAUAUGACGUGAUUUGGCCUAAUGCAAUUAGCAACAGAAAGGUUUGGGUUGAUUUGAACUCAAGGUUCAAAUUCAAAUUCAAACUAUGAAUUCAAAUAGUGCAUUAUCAUGUUUUCACCUAUACAGCAGGUAUAACUUAGUUUGACAUGCAUGGAAAUGAUACAGAUGGAUAGAUUGCAUUUUUCUGAUCAUUUUUCAUAUAUUAAUUAUUUCAUUCUGAGCUACGGUUGAUUUUAUAUGAUUUUGAGAAGUUUAUACUAUUUUCUAGAAUUUCCUGAUUAAAAAUAAAUCCAGAAAAUGUAAUACUGCAUCAGCCUGACGUCAUCACUGCGUCAGCGAGUCAACGGGCUGGCCAGGGUCAAACCUGACCCGUGGGACCUGCCUGUCAGUCUCUCAGUGCCUAAUUAAGUUUAGGUUUUAAACUAAACUAACUUUUAACAGGGGCUGGCCCCACACGUCAGUGGGUCAGGGGGGAAGUCAAACCCCGGUCAAGCAGGGUCAAACCCGCCGGACUUGGUCCACGGCUCGUCGCCUGUGAAACCCGGGACGGCGGAGGGGCUCGGGAUUUGCCCACGGUCGACCAAAUCGACCGCGGUUUGGUCCUACGCGUAGCUGGGGCUCGCGCGCAUCUAGUAGGCCAAGCGGGAGGAGCUGGGGUGGUCUAAGUCGACGGCGGCGAGCACGAAUGCGGCGGCCGGAGUUCGGGCGUCGGUGGUUUUGCUGCUGUAGCGUGCUAGUGGGUGAAUGGAUGCACUAGCGAGACGCUACGAGGUGCGGUGAGUGUGUUAGGCACCGCGCGGGACCAAAUGGUCACCGGAGUGAUGCUGGCGUCGAGCUCGCGCGGCGGCGUGCUACGGUGAGCAAGGGGGCGGCGUCUACAAUGAGCAAACGGAGCAGAGAGGAGGGGGGUUCGACGCAGGGGCUCACAGUGAGUGCAGAGGUGGCCUCGGCGUGCUCGGGGAAGCACCGGAGCGAGCGGGGCGGCGAGAGGGAUCUCCGGCGUUGGGAGGUUGAAGACGACGACGUGGAGGCACUCGGGGGCGUCCGGCGUUGCACAGCUCGACGAGGAGGAAGAGGGAUACUAGGCGGAGCUCUUGGGCAUCUCAGGGCGUCGCCGGGAUGGCGGUGUCCGCGGUGGUGGCGAGCGGCGGCGACGGAGGCGUUCGGGCGGGAAGAACAGAGGAGGGGGAGAGCGUUCGGGGGAGAGGUCGAGGCGUCGAGGGGGUGUCGUGGCGCCGUCUAGGUGCAAUGGGGAGGAGCCAGGCAGGCUGGGAGGGAGGAGGUGGCCGCGGCGUGUAGCUGCGCGCGUCGGGCACGCGCCCUCGCCUACUGGCGCGAGGAAGGCGACAGGAGAGCGCCUGGUGGGCUGGGCCGCCAGCUGGGCCGGCCAGGUGGCUGUGGUGGGUGCCACGUAGGUAUCUCCUCUCUCUGCUUUCUGUUUUUCUAAUUUGUUUCUGUUUUCUAAUUAUUUGCCUCUGUUUUGGGCUUAGGAAAAAUACCAAGGCAUUUCCUAAAAUCCUGAAAAUAUUCAUGGACACUUGCUGAAUUAUUUCAGUGGCCCAAAAAUAGUUCCAACAUUAUUUGAACAUUUAAAUUAUUUAUAGCAUUUAAAUGCCCAAAAUUCAAAUACAAUAAGAUUUAAUUCAAAAAUCCAGGAUGGCCUAGAAAUAGGUGCAUCAUUUUUGGCAGAGGUUUUCACCUUUAACAAAAAUCAUGAACUUUUCUAAAGGGCAUUUGGGUUCAUUGAAAAUAUUGUUUACUUGAACCUAGUUGAAUGCAUUUGGUGCUAGGGUUUCAACAUCCCCAUUUCAAGUUUCUUUGAAAAUUAAACAUGAUGACAUGAGGAACAAGCAAAAGUCAAACAAGGGCUGAUCUGGGGCUGUGACAGUGAGGCCGCAAAGUGAUAUGAGGUGUUACAUGCUAGAUCGGUGUGACUUAGAAUCGGGGUCCCGACAUUCUGCUUCUUUGAGAAUGGAUCCUUUGGCUUGGGCUGAGGAGUGUCAGUCAAUUGCAUUAUCACCUCAGGAAUCGCAAUCUCAGGUUCUUCAGGCUGAGGAAUUUCAGCUUCUACUCCAGUGACAGCCUGGGUCUUCAAUUCUUCAUGUACAUUUUCUUCAGCACUAGUGGCUGGAAUUUCUUCAUGGAUAGAUGGGGUUGCACGAGGUUCUUCAGAUCCCAUUUGUACUUCAGUAGCAACAGGGGACUGAGGAAUUUGCUGUAAAGGUGUGAAGAGUGGAGAGUUGGGGUGCUGACUUUCCCAAAAGUCAUCAUUCAUCACUGGUGUGGUACAGCCAAUGUCCACGUCUUCAUCUUCUAUUUCUUCAAUGCCGGCCUCUUCAGCAGUAAACUGAGGCAUAGGCGAGGAAACAACUGGAGUUGAAGGGAUUUCAUCCACUUCAAUUUCUUCGUCCAUCUGCUCUGACGAAGCAGCAGAAGGAUUUUCUUCAUCAGAUCCGCUAGGGAUCAAAUAUUCUUCAUCAAAAGGAACAAGGUCCUUUGAUGGCAUGGUUGAGAUCGGAACAGCAUCAAUGGGGUUUGCAACUGAGCUGGUCAAUUUCUUCAUCUUCUUCGGAGCUGAAGAAUCUGAUGAAGCUGAUGCUUUCCUUUUCUUCACUGCUGCACGCUCUGCAGCCUUGGUCUUCUUCACAUCUGAUGCAGAUGGAAGAAUUGGAGUUGGGGUAGGCGCAGGAGGAGCAGAGGAAUGUGGUUGGUUUUCUUCAGGCACAACUGAUGCAGUUGCCCUGACCUCUUCAUUUUCUUCAGGCGCACCACUAGUGGAUGCCCUGGCAAUUUCAUCAGCGGCAGGAAUGCAGUCAUCAGCCCUAGACCUCACAUUUUCUUCAGCAUCCUGAAUGUCAUCAGCGGUGCUGGCAUGUUCUUCAGUUGGCUGAGCAGAUGCUUCAGUCUGAGGAAUUUCUUGUUGCGAUGGGGCUGCAACAUUGGAGGUGAACUUCUCAGUCAGUUUAACAAACCUGACCUUGGCUCCUUGCCAAUCAGCAAAGUAAGCAUUGAAAUCAUCGCUGAGGACUUUGAUUUCAGACUGGAUCUUCACAAGAUCAUCAGUUGUCAUAGAGACAACGUUGUUCUUCAGGAAUUUCUCCUUCCCGUACUGCGCUUUCUUGAUCUGCCUGGCCUUCUCAAAUUUCCAUUUCUCUUCUUGGAUGAAGGCAGUCAGCAUAUGAUUUUGGCCAGGAGUCAGCUUGAAGUCAGGCAUAGGAGUGUUUGGGUCCUUGUGCCAGAGAUCAAUGUAAUUGAGGACCAACUUUGGAUCCAAAAGCAGAGGCACAUUUGUGCCCUUGGCUCUAGCGGCCCUGACUUGCCUAUCUCUGAUGAUUUCAGCAAGUUCUUCAUCAUCAGCUUCGUCUUCUUCAGACGGCACUUGGAAGGCGACCUGCUUCUUGUGAGGACUUGGGCGAGAACCUCGUCCAGCAGUGGUCUUUGUCUUCAGCAGAGAGGGUCCUGUUGAAGAAUUUGGAGCAGCCGAGGAACUAGCUGAAGCUCCUGAGGCAAUAAAGAUCCCUGUAGUCCUUUGGCACGUGGCAAGAUGCACAGGUGCUGAGAAUUUGGUCGGAGCAGCUGAGGACUUAUGCGGAGGAGCUGAGGAUUUUGGAGGAGCAGGAGCAGCGUGAGGAAUUGGCCGUGAGGGCUUUGAGGAUUCUGGCCGUGAGGGCAUUGAAGGUGAAGCAAUUGGCUUACGCGCAGGCUUCUUUGCCAUGGAUUUCUUCGGUUUGACAGAGGCCUCAGCGGCAGCAGCAGCAGGAGAGUCUUCAUUGAAUUUCCUCACUGCUUCUCUGGCUUGUCUAGCCAGCUUGGCCUGGCGCUUGGCCCAUUCAUCAGGAUAAUCCUCACCACGCUUGAGGCUGGUGGGAUCAACUUCUUGGCCAGGUGCCAACGGAGGUCUUGGGCAUGGAGGAUUGAGUGCGAAUUUCUUCAUGUACUUGGGAGUCACAUACAUGUACUCCCUCCACUCUCUUGCCCAUCUCCUCUCUAUCUUCUGAAUGCGCACCUUGCGCUGAUUUUUAUCUUCCUCAGGGGGUGUGCAGUACCCAGCAUAGAUGUCCUCAGGGAUUUCAAAUGCAGUGUUGACCUCAGGCCUCUUUCCUCCUUUCUGUGGCUUCUUUCCAUCAACCAUUUUCUUCAGAUGAGGAAUUUGAACAAUUGAAUUCUCUGAAGAAGUAUGCAACUUUUCUUCGAGGAACGCUACAAAUGAGUUAAGUUGAUGAGAACCUAGAGAUUCAACAGCGGACAUGAGUACCUGUGAACAGAGUAUAGUUGCGAGGAAUUUGGAGAGGUCAUAUGCGUUCUCAAAAGGUUUUUCAAAAAGAACAAGUUUUAGGAAUUUGACCAGAUGAGUCUUGAAGAAUUUCACUAAGCGUUCUUUGUCUUAGGUUCCAGAGUUGCAUAGAUCGAAGAUCCACACAAUUGAGGAAUCUUGAAGAAAAAUUAUUGCUUAGAGAAAUGAAUCAAGAACAGAUGACAUGUGAGGUGUUUAGUGUGUGAAGAAUUUGAAGAAUAAACACCUUUGAAGAUUUUGUAGAAAUCAUUUGAAUCAAAGAGGGCAGUAAAAGUAACUUUUAAUUACCCUGGACAAAGAACACGACGAACUGUGAGGUAGAGAUGAGAAGUUCGUCUGUGCAGAUCUUCCACGCCCUAACUCGGCGGAGGAAGACGGCUACGGGCGGCGGCGGAGUGAAGAUUUCCGCGGUCGGCGCGAGUACGGCGGCGACGAGGUCGAGGCAGUGAAGCUCUUCCUCACCGGCGACGAUGAAGUAGCGGCGGUGCUAGGGUUUGAGAAGCUCGAGCUGGAGAGAGGUCGAGCGGAGUAAAGGAAGGGAGGAAGGGGAGAUGGGGUAUUUAUAGCCACGGUGAAAAACUGUUCGCCCGAAGAUUUUGGACGAACGUGCCCCUGACCCUUCUCAUUCGCUUGACAUGUGUCACCCACGUACUGAGAAGUGGAGAUCGUGUUAGAUCGUGGGUGAAUAGAUAAGUAUUUCAUGGGAUGCGGAACGGUUUGAGCGGCAAAGCCGAAAAUUUGGAUAAGAUAAGUUAAAAGUUCCGUUCGCAAAUUCUUCAGCUGACAAGGACACAGUGAAGAUUUUGAACGAGUUUCAAAUAGAACGCACAUGAAGAAUUUGUGAAUAGAUUGGGUUGAGUAUAGCAUAGAGGGCGAAGGGUCCGAUCACAUUCACUUAGCAGGAAAACCAACUUGAAGAGUUAGCCAUAAGUGAAUGUUGCAGAGUAUAUAUAUAUAUAUAUAGCCAAUGAAGAAAAACGACGGAAACAGUGAAGACAAUGCAAAGUUGAAGAAAAUGAACAACUGAGGAAAGACUUGAAUUGAAGAUUUUCAACUUUUGGUGGUGGCGUGACCCACCGUAUAAGAAUGAUGAUUUUAGACACCGCGUACAAUUGUCGUAGGGUUCUGAGAAUCAAAUUCUUCGUUAAUUUCUUCACACUUAGAGUGUUAUUCUUCAUUGAUUGAAGAAAAACGUUUCUUCAUGUGUUGCGCAUCUAAGUCAUCAAUUUUGCAUAAGUGUUAGGAUGAGUGUCCUUUUCAAAGAACAUUCGAAGAUUCUAAGAUAUUUAGCUCACACUGCAACUUGCUAAAUCUCUUCUCAUCCAAGGGCUUUGUGAAGAUAUCGGCUAGCUGUUCUUCAGUCUUCACAUGCUCAAUAGAAAUGUCACCCUUCAACACAUGAUCAAGAAGAAAAUGAUGACGAAUCUGAAUGUGCUUUGUCUUCGAGUGCUGAACUGGGUUGUGAGAAAUCUUGAUGGCACUCUCAUUGUCACAGUAGAGAGGCACAUUCUUCAUGUUGACGCCGUAGUCCUUGAGAGUUUGCUUCAUCCACAGCAAUUGAGCACAGCAAGAACCAGCAGCAAUGUACUCAGCUUCAGCAGUAGACAGUGAUACGCAGUUUUGUUUCUUUGAGGACCAACAGACCAAAGAUCGUCCGAGGAAAUGACAUGUACUAGAUGUUGUCUUGCGGUCCACACGAUCACCAGCAUAGUCAGAGCCAGAAUAUCCAAUGAGAUCAAAAGCCGAGCCCUUGGGGUACCAUAAUCCAUGUGUUGGUUUGUGAGCUAGAUAUUGAAGAAUAUGCUUCACAGCCUUAUGGUGUGAUUCCUUCGGUGUAGCUUGAAAUCGGGCACACAUGCAAACACUAAGCAUAAUAUCUGGCCUAGAUGCACAUAAAUACAAUAAAGAACCAAUCAUGGAGCGGUAUACCUUUUGAUCGAAGUCAAUACCAUUUUCAUCAGUGCACAGAUGGCCAUUUGUGGGCAUCAGAAUUUUGACGCCUUUGCAAUCUUGCAUGCCGAAUUUCCUCAGUACAUCCUUGAGGUAUUUCUCCUCAGAUAUGAAUAUGCCAUUGCGCUGUUGACGAAUUUGAAGACCUAAGAAGAAUUUUGAUUCUCCCAUCAUAGACAUUUGAUAUUCUUCACUCAUCAUAUAGGAAAAUUCAUCACUAUAAUGUUGGUCAGUACAGCCAAAGAUAAUAUCAUCAACAUAUAUUUGGCACACAUACAAUUCACCAUCAUAAGAUUUAGUGAAAAGAGUAGGGUCGAGUGAACCGGGUUUGAAGCCUUUCUUCAUGAGGAAUUCCUUCAAAGUAUCAUACCAUGCCCGAGGGGCCUGCUUGAGGCCAUAGAGGGCCUUAUUGAGUCUGAAGACUUUGUCAGGAUGCUUUGGAUCUUCAAAACCUGGGGGUUGAGCAACAUAUACUUCUUCCUCAAGCUUACCAUUAAGGAAUGCACUUUUCACAUCCAUUUGAUAUAAAGUGAUAUCAUGAUGGUUAGCAUAAGCAAGUAAUAUGCAAAUAGCUUCAAGUCUAGCAACAGGUGCAAAAGUUUCAUCGAAAUCAAUUCCUUCAACCUGUGUGUAGCCUUGAGCUACAAGCCGUGCCUUAUUCCUCACCACAAGGACAUUUUCAUCUUGCUUGUUGCGGUAGAUCCACUUUGUGCCAAUGAUAUUGUGCUUGCGAGGAUCUGGACGUUUAACCAGUUCCCAGACGUUGUUGAGCUCGAAUUGAUGUAAUUCUUCUUGCAUGGCCUGAAUCCACUCAGGCUCCAGAAAUGCUUCAUCUACCUUAGUGGGCUCUGUGAUAGAGACAAAAGCAUAGUGCCCACAAAAGUUAGAUAAAUGUGAAGCUUUUGAGCGUGUGAGAGGACCUGGUGUGUCAUCGAUGAUCUUUUCAACUUGCACUUCUUUUGCAACACGAGGAUGAGCUGGUUGUCGUCGAGGAAUUUGAUAAGCAUUUUCUUCAGCACCAUUUUCUUCAGCAUUUUCUUCAGGUGCAUUAGCUCGACGUUCUUCACGUUCUGGAAUGAAUUCUUCAGCAGAUUCUUCGGUAGGAAUGACCUCUGUAGCCUUGAACUUGAUAGUUUCCUCAGGUGCUGGUUCAUCUAUCACAGAGGGUAGGUGCUCUCUUUGCGAGCCAUUAGUUUCAUCGAACCGCACAUCUACAGUUUCAACAACCUUGUGAAGAACGUUGUUGAAGACUCUGUAGGUGUGCGAGUCCUUUCCGUAACCAAGCAUAAAACCUUCAUGUGCUUUUGGUGCAAAUUUAGCAUUGUGAUGAGGAUCUCUAAUCCAACAUUUAGCACUGAAGACUUUGAAAUAACUCACAUUGGGUUUCUUGUCAGUGAGGAGUUCAUAGGCAGUCUUCUUGAAGAAUUUGUGAAGAUAUACCCUGUUGAUGAUGUGGCACGCAGUAUAAAUUGCCUCAAUCCAGAAGUGACGAGGCGUCUUGGACUCAUCAAGCAUAGUGCGAGCCAUCUCAAUAAGAGUUCUGUUCUUGCGCUCCACGACGCCAUUCUGCUGAGGAGUGUAAGGAGCAGAUAACUCAUGAGUAAUACCAAGUUCAUCAAGAUAGUCAUCAAGACCAGAAUUCUUGAACUCAGUUCCAUUGUCACUUCUGAUGUGCUUGAUUUUCACACCGAAGUUGGUUGAAGCCCUCGAGGAAAAUCGUUUGAAGACUUCCUGCACUUCAUGUUUGUAAGUGACAAUAUGUACCCAAGUGUAACGAGAGUGAUCAUCAACAAUAACAAAGCCAUAGAGAGAUGCAUCAUUUGUGACUGCUGAGUAAUGGUUAGGACCGAAGAGAUCCAUAUGAAGCAAUUCAAAUGGUCGAGUAGUGGUGAUGAUAGUCUUUGCUGGAUGCUUAGCCUUGGUCAUCUUUCCAGCUUCACAGGCUCCGCAUAAGUGAUCCUUGAGGAAUUUGACAUUCUCAAUGCCAAUGGCAUGCUUCUUCUUUGCAAGCGUGUGCAAAUUCCUCAUGUCUGCAUGACCAAGUCGUCGAUGCCAUAGCCAGCCUUCUGAAGCUUUUGCAAGUAGGCACACGGCUGGUUGCGGUCCUAUAGAUAAAUCAACAAUAUACAAGUCUCCUCUCCUAAAGCCUUCGAAGACUUUGGAAUUGUCAGCUUCCAUAACCACAACACAACGAUACUUGUCAAAGACAACAACCAUAUCAAGAUCACAAAGCAUUGAGACAUACAUGAGGUUGUAUCCUAAGGACUCGACAAGCAUGACUUUGUCCAUGUGUCGAUCCUUUGUGAUCGCAACCUUACCUAGACCCAAUACCUGACUUUUGCCUUUGUCAGCGAAGAUGAUAUGCUUCAGAUGCGAUGGUGAUAAGGGAGCAUCCAUCAAUAGAUUCUUGUCACCAGUCAUGUGAUUUGUACAUCCACUAUCGAGGACCCACUCAGUGGCUUUGGGUUGAUCAUCCUGUAGAUGAAUUAGUGCAGCUUACGAACUUCAUAUACUUCAUCAGUGAAGAAUAUGACAUCACAAUUCAUCAGGCCAAUUUCAUCAAGCAAUGCAACAGUUAAAACAGUAUGAGGACGUGAGAAAUGAAAGUUCAUUUCUUCAUGAUUAGCCUGCGUCCUUUCAGGCACUUUUCACGUCUCCAACAAAUUCUUCAGACGUUUGAGCACGUCUGGAGACCUGACCCUGCAUAAGAGAUUAGUCCUUUUUCUUCACCACCCACAUCUGAAGGGGUGGCAAAGAGUUCAUCACUCUGCGAGCUCCAUACGAGAAAGGUGGCAUAGAAGCCAAUCCAUUUCGUUUCACAUAAGAGGAGUUAGGGUAAGCAUAUGAAUAAGCAGAGAAAUUCUUCGAGGACUUAUGAACAUAAUGAUUAGAAGAAUAAUGCUCAUAUUCAUAGCCCUUAGCUCUUCCCUGCGAAACAGAGUUGUUAGCACGAUGAUGUUCAUAUGAGGACUUUGAUCCUUUUGAGGAAUAUGAUCCACGUGAGGAAUUCGAUCCGUAUGAGGACUUGGAUCCAAAUGAAGAAUUUGGUCCACAUGAAGAAUUUGAUCUGGGGUUCCUAUUCUUCACAGGUGGUGUCAUGAGGACAUUCACCUGAAGACUUUCAAGGCACCUUUUGGGAACCCAGAUUUUCUUCAUAGGAGAACCGUUCCUACAGUUAGUGCCAACAUAUCUAGCAAAUACUUCACCAUUCUGAUUUUUAAACAGUUUAUAGUUGGAGUCAAAUGACUCAUCAGAAGAAUGAGAAGAUUCACAUGUAAAGCCAGAUAAAUUAGAUGGAUCAACUGGAGGUCCCUUUGCAGCAACCCAUGAGGUUUUGGGGUACUGCUCAGGCUUCCAAUAUGUACCAUCAGCAUUGAGUUUCCUCUCAAAGGCAAUACCCUCUUUCCUAGGGUUCCUGUUGAGGAUCUGCUUUUUAAGCACAUCACAAAGAGUCUGAUGCCCUUUGAGGCUUUUGUACAUGCCUGUCAUGUACAAUUCCUUCAGCCCUGCAUCAUCAGUGAUACUAGCAAUGUCCUCAGAUGAGGAAUUAGUGAUAGCAGAGACAGUUGAAGAAUUUGUAGCAUUAGAAGCAUUUGAACAUUCAGGUGAAGAUUUAGCAGAUUCACGUUCAAUGCAUUUCAAACAUGGAGGAACAAAUUCUUCCUGAGCAGCGCUGAUUUGUUGAGCAAGUAAUGAAUCGCGCUCCUUCUGAAGAUCUUCAUAACUCACUCUUAGCUUCUCAAGAUCUUGCUUUCUUUGAAGAAAUUCAUAAGAAAGCUUCUCAUGAUCAGAUAAGAGAGUGUUAUGAUGACCUUGAAGGUUGUCAAAUCUAGACUGAAAUCUCUGAAGAUUUUCAGUCAAGGUUUUAGUGCGAUCCAUUUCUUCACCCAACAUAUCAUCACUUUUUAUCUAGCAUGUUUUGAAACUUUUCCAAGGCCUUUUGUUGUUUAGUGGCAAUACAAACAAGCUUGGUAUAGCUAGGUCCAAAAUCAUCAUCGGAUUCAUCAUCACUAGACUCGGAUGAGGAACAUUCGGUUACCUUGGCACCUUUUGCCAUGAGGCAUGGUGGAGAAGAUGAUAGUUCAGGUUCGAAAGUCAUCGUUUUGAGUGAUUCCUUGAAAUCCUCAAACCAGGGAUCAUGACAAGUUCGAUGACCUUCAUAGACGUCAGAGAUUCGGUCCCAGAUAAGCUUCACAUUGCAAAGAUGCAUAAUGCGCCUGAAUUCAUCUCUGGAUAGGCAGGAACAGAUGAUAUCCUUCGCCAUGAUGUCAAGUCGAGUGUACUUGCGAAUAUCAUCAGUGUCCGCCAUCUUGCAUAGAUCGGUAAGACCAAUCUCAGUGACGGUCCACAGCUCGCUGUUCAGUGCCAUGAGGCGCUUGCUCAUCAUGGCCUUCCACUUGGGAUAAUCAUGACCGUCAAAGAUGGGGCAUGUCACUUUCUUCAUACCUGCGGUCGACAUAACUAAAACUCCAGGCGGUUAAACCAAAAUCACACAGAACAAGGGAGUACCUUGCUAUGAUACCAAUUGAAAGUGCAUUAUAUCGAGUAGAGGGGGGGUGAAUAGGUGAUUUUUAUGAAUUCUUCACUGAGGAAUUUGCGGGUGAGGAAUUCCUUAGCGAAGAACUACUUGCAGCGGAAUAAGUACUCAAGAGUAAGCAUAGCAGAACAUAGGCAUGGUCAUCAUGAUGAAAUGAAGACAAACACAGAGUACAGAAAGCGUAAACACAGGAUAGCACAGGAUGAAGACAAACAGACUGAAGAAAUUGAACUGAGGAAAUUGAGAAAGUCUUCUGUCAAAGUCUUCAAACACAGAUAUGACAAGCACACAACACAGUAAUGAGGAAAUGAAAGAGUUGAGGAAAUAGAACCAGUAAGCUUGGUGAAGACAAUGAUUUGGUAGACCAGUUCCAACUACUGUCUCAGCUGUACAUCUGGUUGGAGCGGCUAGGUAUUUAAACCUGAGGACACACAGUCCCGGACACACAGUCCUCACUGUAUUCUCCUUGAACUAAGGUCACACAGACCUUGUCCAAUCACUCGUGGUAAGUCUUCAGGUGACUUCCGAACCUUCACAAACUCGGUCACUCGGCGAUCCACAAUUCCUCUUGGAUGCUCUAGACCAUGACGCCUAACCGUCUGGAAGAAGCACAGUCUUCAAAGAUAACAAGCGUCGGAUCCACGCAGGAUCAAUUUCUUCAGUGAUGCUCAAUCACUUUGGGUUUGUAGGUGUUUGGGUUUGGGUUUUCCUCACUUGAUGAUUUUCGCUCAAAGUCCUCGGAGGAUGGGAUGCUCUCAAAUGACAAAUGUCAGUUUCUCUCGGAGCAGCCAACCAGCUAGUGGUUGUACGGGGCGACUAUUUAUAGCCUAGGGAGCAGCCCGACAUGAUAAGACAUAAAUGCCCUUCAAUGAUAUGACCGUUAGGUGGGUAGAUAUUUUGGGACAGCUGGCGCAUAGCACAGCAAUGGUAGGAAAUUUCAGUAUCAAAUUCCUCAGGGCUAUCAUGUUCCUCACUGUGUAGGCAAUCCGCACUGGCGAAUUCCUAACUCCUCAGUCAGAACAAAUUCCUCAGAGACCAGAAGAACUUCGUCUCUGUAACUGAAGAAUAUGACUGAACUGUAUGAGAUUUCCAAUGGCUUCACUCGAAGGGAUUGGUAGGUGUAGGAUUUUGAGUUGAGCAUCAUAUGGAAAUUUUUCCUUAGUAUUUCCUCGACCCCCUUUAACAGUACGGUGUUUCCAAUGACUCAAGAAAGAGAAAAUGAAACUACGAAAACAAAAGUCUGCACGGUUCAUAUUCCUCAAAUGAAUACCAAGUCUUCAAGGUCACACCAAUUUCUUCACUUUCAAAGUCUUCAGAAAGUCUUCAGAAAUCCAUAGUCUCUAGUCGAAGAACUUCAUUUUUAGGGGUCGACUUUCUCUGUAAAUAUCAAACUCCUCAUAGACUUAUAGACCUGUGUACACUCAUAAACACAUUAAUCCCUUAACCUAUAAGUCUUCAAUACACCAAAAUCACUAAGGGGCACUAGAUGCACUUACAUCUAUCUUAGGGUAACGAGAGUCGAGGCGAACGUUGUCGCGAUAGCGACUACGGAAGCCCAGACGAGCACGCGACACCACUGCCACCCUGUCUUAGGGUAAUGCAAGUCGAGGCGGACGUCGUCGCAUUAGCGAUGCCGGGACACCGAGAUGAGCACGUGGCACCAAGGCCACCCUGUCUAUCUUACGGUAACGCGAGUCGAGGCGGACGUCGUCGUGGUAGCGACGACGGACGCCGCGACUAGCAUGUGACACCACUGCCACCCUUUCUAUCUGAGGGAAACGCGAGUCGACGUGGACGUCGUCGCGGUAGUGACAACGGACGCCGAGACGAGCACGUGACACCAUUGCCACCCUGUCUAUCUUAGGGUAACACUAGUCGAGGGGACGUCGCCGCGGUAGCGGCGACGGACGCCGAGACGAGCACGUGAUACCACUACCACCCUGUCUGUCUUAGGGUAAUGCGAGUCAAGGGGGACGUCGUUGCGGUAGCUACGACAGACGCCAAGACGAGCACGUGACACCACUGUCACCCUGUGUAUCUUAGGGUAACGCGGGUCGAGGCGGACAUCGUCGUGGUAGCGACGACGCAUGUCAAGACGAGCACGUGACACCAGUUCCACCCUGUCUUAGGGUAACGCAAGAGUCGAGGUGGAUGUCGUCGCGCUAGCGACGACGGACGCCGAGACGAGGACAUGAUGCCAGGACCACCCUGUCUAUAUUAGGGUAACGCGAGUCGAGGCAGACAUCGUCGCGGCAGUGACGACAGACGACGAGACGAGCACGUGACACCACAGCCAUCCUGUCUAUCUUAAGGUAACGCGAGUCGAGGCGGACGUCGUCGCGGUAGCGACGACGGACGCCGAGACCAGCACGUGACCCCACUACCAACAUGUCUAUAUUAGGGCAACGCGACUCGACACGGACGUCGUCUCGGUAGCGACGACGGACGCCGAGGCAAGCACGUGACACCACUGCCACCCUGCCUAUCUUAGGGUAACGCGAGUCGUGGCGGAUGUCGUCGUGGUAGCGACGACGGACACCGAGACUAGCACGUGACACCACUGCCACCCUGUCUUAGGGUAACGCGAGUCGAUGCGGAUGUCGUCGCGGUAGCAACGAUGGACGCCUAGACGAGCAUGUGACACCACUGCCACCCUCUCUUAGGGUAACGCGAGUAGAGGCGGAGGUCGUCGCGGAAGCAGCGACGGACGCGGAGGCGAGAACGUGACACCACUGCCACCCUGUCUUAGCGGAACGCGAGUCGAGGCGAACGUCGUCGCGAUAGCGACGACAGACGCCAAGACGAGCACGUGACACCACUGCCACCCUGUCUUAGGGUAACACGAGUCGAGGCGGACGUCGUCGCGUUAGCAACGAAGGACGCCGUGACGAGCACGUGACACCAGGGCCACCCUGUCUAUCUUAGGGUAACGGGAGUCGAUGCAGAAGUCGUCGCCGUAGCGAUGACGGACGCUGAGACGAGCACGUGACACCACUACCACCCUAUCUAUCAUCGGGUAACGCGAGUCGAGGCAAACGUCGUCGCGGUAGCGACGACAGACGCCAAGACGAGCACUUGACACCCUGGCCACCCUGUCUAUCUUAGUGUAACGCGAGUCGAGGCGAACGUCAUCGCAGUAGCGAGGACGGACGCCGAGACGAGCACGUGACACUACUGCCACCCUCUCUUAAAAGUCGAGGCGGACGUCGUCUAGCUUGUCACGUCAAAUUGACACAAAAAAUGUUCAUUUAAAAAAAAAUAUCAGAUAUUUCGGAAAAUGUUCUUGUUUUUAAGGAAAUUUCAGGAAUUCAAAAGUUGUUUAGUUCUAUAAAUAUGUUCUUGAUUUGAAUUUUUCUCAUUAAUUUUAAAAUAUGUUCAUAGUAGAUCAAUUUAAUGAACAUUUCGAUUCAACCAAAAAGAUGUAGAUCAAUUUAAUUCAGCAUGUUAAUUUUUGUUUAAUAAAAUUAUGUUCAUGGAAAGUAUUAAUCGAAAGGGAAUAGAGGAAUAGGCGAAUUUAUUUUUUUUCUGUGUAAAAGUAGCUAUUCAUUUUAGUUGAAAGUGCUAGUUCAUUUCAAUUAAAAGUGGGAUUUCCGGCCCAUUAGUGUCCGUGAAAAACUGCUGGCCCAGAAAGGGAAUAGGAAAACACAGGCCCAAAAGGAAAAAACGUGGAAAGGGAAUAGAGGCUAGGUGAGGUAUUGGGCCAAGGCUGGGCCGAACUCACAAAAAGUGGAGCUCUCAAGGCCGGAAUUGAUCACGAAAGGGAAUAGAAUGGGCGCAACCGUUCGCUAACUUUGUCGUUUGUUGUCGCAUCGAUCUGGUGCGAAAUGAGAGCUCCUAUGUGUCGCAUUUUACGGCAAAUUGCCACCAUAUCGCACAGGGGCGCCACCGAGUGGGCCGGCCCAUUAGCAGCACUGCAGCGAGCCAAUAAACGCACUGUAGCUAAAAACUGAGCGGCAUCGACCUCGCGACCUCUGGCUAUUGAAUGACUCUCGCUAGCCACUUGAGCUGAUGGCCCGUUGGUUAUUGUUAUACACCGCGAAAUACUAAAAGCACUACUCGGAGGAGCUGAUCAAACUUGUACUGUAGCGACCGGACUGUGUACUGUUACGACAUGAACAAGGCAAGGUAGAGUUUUUUUUAGAAGCUCCAAAUCUUUCUUUGAAAAACGUGAACAUUUUUUCAAAACACAAAUAAAACUUCAAAUUUCAAACAUUUUUCAAAACAGAUAAAAAAAGUAGAAACCACAAAAGUAUUUUGAAUUUGUGAACAUUUCUCCGAGAAAGGGAACAUUUUUUAAAUUCCGAACAAAUUUUGAAAGCCUGAACAUUAUUUGAAACUCCCCGAACAAUUUUUGAAUUUGUGAACAAAUUUUGAAAACGAGAACAUUUUUUGAAAUUGUGAACAAAAUUUUGAAACCACAAACAUUUUUUGAAAUUGGAAGCAAUUUUAGAAUUUGUGACUUUUUUUCAAAAUGAGAACUUUUUUGAAAUUCUGAAUUAUAUUUCAAAUUUUCAAAAAAGUUUCAAUAGAAAAAUAAACUUAAAAAAGAAAAAGAGAAAAAUGAAAAAGAAAACAAAACAAUAUUCAAAAAUUCAUGAACGUUGUUUUGAAAAUAUUUAGAAAAGAAGCGAACAAUUUUUGAAAUUUCUGAACAAAAUUUGAAAACAGGAACAUUUAAAAAAAAUAAGGAUCAUGUUUUGAAAUUCCCAAACAAUUUUGAAAUGCAAACAUUUUUUGAAUGUAGAAACAAAAUUUGAAAACAGGAACAUUUUCCAAAAUUUGAACUUUGUUUAGGAACCUGAAUAUUUCUAGAAAAAGAAAAAUGAAAUUGAAUAAAAAGGAAACGGAAAAAGAAAAAAAGAAAAAGAAAAACCUGACCACAAAGAAAUAGAAAAACGAAAAGAAAAGAAAAAACCGUAGAAAAGAAAAAAACCCGGUUCAGGAAACCUUCUGGAAGGUUCCCAAAGACGGAUUGGGUAGUGCCAAUACGAUCUACUCAAAUGGGCCGGCCCCGUCGUGUCGAUCGGCCGAUCGCCUGUGCGUUGCCCCGGCAACUUGCCGCAACGAGCGACAAACAGGAAAUUCCGUGCGAAAAAUCGAGUGCGCCUCUUAGGACGCGCGCUAGCGACGCCGCAUUGGAGUUCUCUCUAUACGUAUACUUGCUAGCGUUGAUCAAGCACGGAAAUAAGCGAGCUCACUUCUCUCUAUUAGCUAGCUAACACAAUAUAUGAAACCCCCUCUCCCUUCUUUCAAAACAAAAACAAAACCCCUGCUCCUGCCAGCUGCUGACGCGUGGAUGCCUUUUGGUACCGGUUGGUGUUACCAACCGGGACAAAAGGUGCUCCAGCCUAGGCACCUCGCAGCGGCCACGUGGAGCCCCUUGCGAAUCGGGACUAAAGGUUUUGGGCUUUAGUCCCAACCCUUUAGUCCCGGUUCCAGAACCGGGGUAAGGGGCCUCUGAAACCGGGACAAAUGGGCCGGUUUCUAUGAGUCGAAGCUCCAUCCUCCUUUCUAGUCCUCUGUUCCUUUUGUCAUAUCAGCUUUCAUCCAUCUCCCAUACUGUUGCACCUCACCUCUCCCAAGUCCAAUAGAACACGCCUUGUCCACGUGUCCAAUUAUACCACACGUGUAACAAAAAUCAGGGAGGUACUCAUACUCUAGGGGGCACCAUUUUUGCUCAUCAUCUUUCUUCUUUCUUUUAUCCACGUCCAUCACUUCUGCAGACUCCUUGUCUUCUCCCGUUCAAUAUCCAAAGUGAUUCCUCUCAACAGUGGCUUUGUAAUGUCUAGUCUAACUUUCAGAACUUCCAGCCACAUUAUCAUCAUCCCCCUGGUUACCUCCAUGAACUCGCCAGUCUCGUCACCAAUGAUACCUCCGUUUUCAUCACUCAUGAAACCGAGCGGCAUCUUGGUCACCCUGACCCAAAUAAGGAUGAUAGUGAACUCAUACUCUCCUAGCGUUUUAGCUGGGUCGAAAUCUACCAUCACAAUCAGGUCCUUUCCCACCAUCCAUGGCCCUUCCUCCAAUGCUUUCCUCUUCCCCGCUGCUUGCAAGAAGGUGAAAAGAAAGGUGUUGUCCUCUAACCCCUUGCACUUGAUUCCCUUGAUCGGACACCACACUCUUCCGAGGUAUUUGAUCAUACCUUCCACAUAUACUGGUUUCUCGGACAUAACCUUACCGAUCGCCUGUGGAUCUUCCGUUCCCGUUCUCCUCAACCCGCCUCUUCCGAUCUUGACUCCCUUCUUCUCUGCUUCUGGCAACCGCAACUUCUGCAUCAAACCUUCCACUUUCUCCAUUGUGUCGAGGACUUGCAUCGAUCUAUGGUUUACUAGGUGGUUGUAUUAUGAAUGAAUGCCCUAGCAACACUCGUAAGGCUUUUGGUGGAUGGGUGAGCGGUCUCGAGAUCAAUCCAGCAAGGAUCGCCAAGGCUAGGGGGAGAGUUUGCUGGCGUAGGCCAGAGACGGGGUCGCCUGAGGGGACUCUAGGGUUUACCAGGAGUCACCGCAGAAUCCCCUGGGAAUCGCCCAAGCGCCAAUCGUGGAACCGUCACCCAAGGACGGACGGGUUAAGGAUGAUAAUUAAAGCGGACUUUGAUAGAGAGACACGUGAGAAAUAGAGUGAUAGAGAGAGAUACGUGAAAAUUAAAGCGGUUUUAAUUUCUUUCUUUUCUGUAAUUAAAGAGAUACGCAUGAGAAAUAGAGAGAUAAGAGAGAUACGUGAGAAUUAAAGCUGUUUUAAUUUUUUCCGUUUCUAUAAUUAAAGAUCUGAUCUACACAGUUAUAAUCUUGACCCGCAAAAUCAACGGCCUCCAUUUUCUAUUUUUCUCUAAUUAAUGUGGGAAUUUCUUGGGAGUGCCUAUUAGUAUAGGUAUAUAUAUGUGCAAAAAAUCUCGACAUUAAUGAACAUAUAUCUGGUGCACUUGCAAUCUUUUGUAGUACAUUAAUGAAUAUUUAAAGUAUUUUCCAACUCUUGCUAUUUAUAGACUUGUCAUCCGUGUCUGCCACAUUUGGAGUCCAACUAUUUCCUACUGGAACCUUACACUCCACUAGAACUGAGUUUGUCAAGUAACAGAUAACCAAUAUGAGAGGGAGCAGCCUAGUGCAGGGGACGAUGAUAUUCUUCAUUGGAUGCCUUGUGCUUUGUGCACAGUGUAAGUAUAUAUCAUCAUCGUCUUUAGAAUCUUGUGUUAACUUCUUGCCACUAAUUCUUCGGAUCAGACAUACAUACACACACACAUCUGCGGUACUGCAUACUAAGGUUAAAUAUACUAUACAGGUGCUCUCGAUAAUAAGCAAAGGAUGGUCAACCAAGAUGAUCAUGCGGCGAACACAAGUACCAACGCUACCAUCAUCAACUCAACAUCUGUAGGCGAGAGCAAGAAAACCGAGAAAUUUUGCAGCCUCUUUCUCGUAUGUUAUUUCAACAUUGAGAUUCGUGCUGAGUGCUACUGUUGCGAGAAUAAGAAUGCCGACUGUUACAAGACGAAGAGUGAGUGCCUGCAGAAGUGCCAUUCCUACAACGGUUAAUGCCCACCUUCAUCGCGGUCUCUGGGAUAGAAUUCCAUAUGCUCGGAAAAUUUGUCCGUAGGUAAUAAAAGGCACCUUAUAUGGUUUGGGCAAUUAGGUCCCAAUUAAACAUUAGAUAGCCGGCAUGUUUCCGUGGAGAUCCAACAAGGAAAAAUUUGAUGAAAGAAAUCCGAGUAACUAGUUGUCUUGCAUAUUUACAAAGUUCAAAUCCUUUGGUUGUUGUGCUUUGACUCGAUUGUCUAUUAUGC
Molecule: long non-coding RNA, 39184 nt
Filed under: Triticum aestivum (bread wheat)
Lineage: Eukaryota; Viridiplantae; Streptophyta; Magnoliopsida; Poales; Poaceae
Description: long non-coding RNA (TAES_LNC017458)
Source: RNAcentral